RNAcentral lists this ribosomal RNA (636 nucleotides) under uncultured bacterium. RNAcentral describes it as "bacterial SSU rRNA". It matches the Rfam family "Bacterial small subunit ribosomal RNA", at positions 215 to 842 of the family's 1533-position model. The record is from RNAcentral.
CCGCUUUUGGAUGGGCCCGCGGCGCAUUAGCUAGUUGGUGGGGUAAAGGCUUACCAAGGCAAUGAUGCGUAGCCGAACUGAGAGGUUGAUCGGCCACAUUGGGACUGAGACACGGCCCAAACUCCUACGGGAGGCAGCAGUAGGGAAUCUUCCACAAUGGGCGAAAGCCUGAUGGAGCAACGCCGCGUGGGUGAAGAAGGUCUUCGGAUCGUAAAACCCUGUUGUUAGAGAAGAAAGUGCGUGAGAGUAACUGUUCACGUUUCGACGGUAUCUAACCAGAAAGCCACGGCUAACUACGUGCCAGCAGCCGCGGUAAUACGUAGGUGGCAAGCGUUAUCCGGAUUUAUUGGGCGUAAAGGGAACGCAGGCGGUCUUUUAAGUCUGAUGUGAAAGCCUUCGGCUUAACCGGAGUAGUGCAUUGGAAACUGGGAGACUUGAGUGCAGAAGAGGAGAGUGGAACUCCAUGUGUAGCGGUGAAAUGCGUAGAUAUAUGGAAGAACACCAGUGGCGAAAGCGGCUCUCUGGUCUGUAACUGACGCUGAGGUUCGAAAGCGUGGGUAGCAAACAGGAUUAGAUACCCUGGUAGUCCACGCCGUAAACGAUGAAUGCUAAGUGUUGGAGGGUUUCCGCCCUUCA